Molecule: ribosomal RNA, 490 nt
Filed under: uncultured bacterium
Lineage: Bacteria
Description: partial 16S ribosomal RNA
Rfam family: Bacterial small subunit ribosomal RNA
Source: RNAcentral
AUUGAACGCUGGCGGCAGGCCUAACACAUGCAAGUCGAACGGUAACAGGAAGCAGCUUGCUGCUUUGCUGACGAGUGGCGGACGGGUGAGUAAUGUCUGGGAAACUGCCUGAUGGAGGGGGAUAACUACUGGAAACGGUAGCUAAUACCGCAUAACGUCGCAAGACCAAAGAGGGGGACCUUCGGGCCUCUUGCCAUCGGAUGUGCCCAGAUGGGAUUAGCUAGUAGGUGGGGUAACGGCUCACCUAGGCGACCAUCCCUAGCUGGUCUGAGGGGAUGACCAGCCACACUGGAACUGGGACACGGACCAUGCGCCUACGGGAGGCAGCAGUGGGGAAUAUUGCACAAUGGGCGCAAGCCUUAUGCAGCCAUGCCGCGUGUAUGAAGAAGGCCUUCGGGUUGUAAAGUACUUUCAGCGGGGAGGAAGGGAGUAAAGUUAAUACCUUUGCUCAUUGACGUUACCCGCAGAAGAAGCACCGGCUAACUCCGUG